AAGCUUUCGCGGUAUGGGAUGGGGUCGCGUCCUAUCAGCUUGACGGCGGGGUAACGGCCCACCGUGGCUUCGACGGGUAGCCGGCCUGAGAGGGCGACCGGCCACAUUGGGACUGAGAUACGGCCCAGACUCCUACGGGAGGCAGCAAUGGGGAAUAUUGCACAAUGGGCGCAAGCCUGAUGCAGCGACGCCGCGUGAGGGAUGGAGGCCUUCGGGUUGUAAACCUCUUUUAUCGGGGAGCAAGCGAGAGUGAGUUUACCCGUUGAAUAAGCACCGGCUAACUACGUGCCAGCAGCCGCGGUAAUACGUAGGGUGCAAGCGUUAUCCGGAAUUAUUGGGCGUAAAGGGCUCGUAGGUGGUUCGUCGCGUCCGGUGUGAAAGUCCAUCGCUUAACGGUGGAUCUGCGCCGGGUACGGGCGGGCUUGAGUGCGGUAGGGGAGACUGGAAUUCCCGGUGUAACGGUGG
RNAcentral lists this ribosomal RNA (465 nucleotides) under uncultured Bifidobacterium sp. RNAcentral's name for it is "bacterial SSU rRNA". It matches the Rfam family "Bacterial small subunit ribosomal RNA", at positions 204 to 684 of the family's 1533-position model. The record is from RNAcentral. Lineage: Bacteria; Bacillati; Actinomycetota; Actinomycetes; Bifidobacteriales; Bifidobacteriaceae.